AUGCUGCGUCAUCGGCGACGUAACACACACACGCACAGGAAGCAGCUUCGGGUCAGUCGGGCUACCUGUGUUGACCAGGGCUUCAGCGCAGAGACAUGGCUCCUGGAAUUCAUUUGGGGUAAGUCAUUCUUUUCACUGAUUCUUUACUUUAAAAAGUACGUUGCUGUUGUGCCCCUGUGCUCUGACCUUGGUGCCCGUUGUCUCCUGUGCAGGACCUUCUUGCUGUUUUGUUUGGUUCAAGCAGAGCAUGUGUGCGGUUCGUGGGCUGCACAAGCCCAGAGACAAAACGGCAAAGCAUUUGUUGGCUUCUCGCAGCAGGACGUCGGCGCCGGCAGCUCUCCCCGGAAUCAAUUCAGACAGGCCUCCGUUUCCCUGGGCUCGGCCCCGAGCAGCAGCAGCAGCAGCAGCAGCAGCAGCAGCCGCAGCAUCAGCCGCCUCUUCAAUCCAGCGCCUGUCGGUAGCAGUGGCCGCACACAAACUGGGCCACAGCCGGCCCCCGGUGGCUACGCUCCAGUCAGGUCGUUGCAGGGCGGCUGGGUGUCCAAACCCAACUGGAGGCCCACCGACUCGAAGCUGGCGAGUGCUCAAGGUGUGCCCAAAAAGCAGUUGUCUGUACUUUCUACUUCUAUCGCCAGUGGAAGUUCUGUGAGUGUGCACACACUGAAAAAGAAAGCCCAUACCGAUGUGAGCGAGAGGAGAACUUGGCCAGGCGAGGGGGCGUCGGCCUCCCGCCACCAGUCUGCAGCACAGAAGCCUCCCAGUCGGUCUUCCAGCAUGUUGGGUGCGGGUGCUCCGGUGCCCCACAAUUCUGUAAAGAGGCGCACUUCGGCCACCGCCCCCGCCAGACGAGUGUCUUCACAGCGCAGAGCCAAGGAGUUUAGACAAGCUCAGAUCACAUCCCCUGAAAAUGAGAGAAAGGGAAACCCCAACUGGAGCAAGCUGUUUCCUGUGACGGGAGGAACUGCCCAAGGAAGCUAUAAGCCUACUUCCAACAUGGCCUCGAGUCUCGCAAGUUAUCCCCGGGCACCCUACAAACAAAACGCUGCCGUUUUUCAGCCACGCGGUCUCAGCCCACCCACAAGCCAGAGGUUUGGCUCCAGUGAGCAGACCCCCGGCAGUACGAGCUCUGUGCGAGCGGGAAGCUCCCCUCAGCGCUACGCCCCGACCAGGACCCUCAACAUCCCUUGGUCCUUCGGUGGCUCACCCAUCAAGCGGCUGAAAGGGUCAGUUGUCCAGAAGCCACAAGUGAAGCACACGGCUGCGUCUCACAACCUGCAGGGUCAAGGUGUUCAACAGAAGCCACAAGUGAAGCACUCGGCUGCGUCUCUCAACCUGCAGGGUCAAGGUGUUCAACAGAAGCCACAAGUGAGGCACACGGCUGCGUCUCUCAACCUGCAGGGUCAGGGUGUUCAACAGAAGCCACAAGUGAAGCACUCGGCUGCGUCUCUCAACCUGCAGGGUCAAGGUGUUCAACAGAAGCCACAAGUGAGGCACACGGCUGCGUCUCUCAACCUGCAGGGUCAAGGUGUUCACCCAGAGAGCAAAUGGCAGAGGAUCACCAGGCCGCGUCCAACUGCCUAACAGGUGAGCGUUUGUCUUUUCUCACUGUGCUCCAUGUUUCAUAUCCUGGUUUCUAAUGGCCUUUUUUUUUCUCUCUCUCUCUCUAGGUGCAGCAGAAGGACUUGUCCUUGUUUGUGUUUUUGAAAUAAAUUCUUAAUCCAAGUCUUGUCUCGACUUCAUGUGGCACUGCUCUCAAAGCCACAAAUGUCUUUGUGGCUGCACCAUAAAUGUAGACUUGGUGCCACCUAGUGUGUAAAAGGAUGCGAUGCAAAGAUGGCUCCAUCUGAACCAGAUCUGAAUCCCUGCAUUUCUAUUCAGACCUUUUUGAAAAUGCAACAACCAGGUCUCCCUCUCUCCAAAGAUCACCUGGGAAAUGUUACACUUGGGACAAAUGCAGGAACGUUUACAACUUGCUGAAUGUAAACUCUAAAACUUGGCCAAGGCUUUAUACUGCAAAAUACUUAAUAUGCUAGUUUAUAGAUGCUGAUUGUGGGGAAUACAUAUCAGAACACCCAUCUGUCAGUGUUCUUAUGGAAUGAUGACAAUAUCCAAUUGCCUGUUUAUCUCAGUGGUUGAACCCCUCCUCCCUGGCCUUAGUACUUCAGUUGUCCUAAGUAGAUCUCCUGACCUGUUUAAAUCUGUCUCUCCAGAACUUGGAUUCCUGGUAUUAACAUCCAUCCGGAGUAUUAAUUUGAAGUGCCAAUAGCAGUAAUAACAUGCUCUUGCCUAAUUAGCAAUAAAAUAUUAAACCUUUGGCCAAUAUGCAAAUUUGACACCUAGAUGUGGAAUUAAUGUAUGAUUUGGCAUAUUCCCUGUAAUCGACUGGGGGGGACAAUGACGCAGG
Long non-coding RNA from Scophthalmus maximus (turbot), 2404 nucleotides. The record is from Ensembl. NCBI's taxonomy places the organism in Eukaryota, Metazoa, Chordata, Actinopteri, Pleuronectiformes, Scophthalmidae.